Molecule: ribosomal RNA, 557 nt
Filed under: uncultured Methanobrevibacter sp.
Lineage: Archaea; Methanobacteriati; Methanobacteriota; Methanobacteria; Methanobacteriales; Methanobacteriaceae
Description: bacterial SSU rRNA
Rfam family: Archaeal small subunit ribosomal RNA
Source: RNAcentral
GCGCGAAACCUCCGCAAUGUGAGAAAUCGCGACGGGGGGGACCCCAAGUGCCAUUCUUAACGGGAUGGCUUUUCUUAAGUGUAAAAAGCUUUUGGAAUAAGAGCUGGGCAAGACCGGUGCCAGCCGCCGCGGUAACACCGGCAGCUCUAGUGGUAGCCAUUUUUAUUGGGCCUAAAGCGUUCGUAGCCGGUUUAAUAAGUCUCUGGUGGAAUCCCGUAGCUUAACUAUGGGAAUUGCUGGAGAUACUAUUAGACUUGAGGUCGGGAGAGGUUAGAGGUACUCCCAGGGUAGGGGUGAAAUCCUGUAAUCCUGGGAGGACCACCUGUGGCGAAGGCGUCUAACUGGAACGAACCUGACGGUGAGGGACGAAAGCUAGGGGCGCGAACCGGAUUAGAUACCCGGGUAGUCCUAGCCGUAAACGAUGCGGACUUGGUGUUAGGAUGGCUUUGAGCCGCCUAGUGCCGAAGGGAAGCUGUUAAGUCCGCCGCCUGGGAAGUACGGUCGCAAGACUGAAACUUAAAGGAAUUGGCGGGGAGCACCACAACGCGUGGAGCCUG